UAAGGAAUAUUGGUCAAUGGACGCAAGUCUGAACCAGCCAUGCCGCGUGAAGGAUGAAGGUCCUCUGGAUUGUAAACUUCUUUUAUCUGGGACGAAAACGGGAUUUUUAUCUCAAUUGACGGUACCAGAGGAAUAAGCACCGGCUAACUCCGUGCCAGCAGCCGCGGUAAUACGGAGGGUGCGAGCGUUAUCCGGAUUUACUGGGUUUAAAGGGUGCGUAGGUGGGCUUAUAAGUCAGUGGUGAAAUCUCCGAGCUUAACUUGGAAACUGCCGUUGAUACUAUAGGUCUUGAAUUAUCUGGAGGUAAGCGGAAUAUGUCAUGUAGCGGUGAAAUGCUUAGAUAUGACAUAGAACACCAAUUGCGAAGGCAGCUUACUACAUAUAAAUUGACGCUGAGGCACGAAAGCGUGGGGAU
RNAcentral lists this ribosomal RNA (415 nucleotides) under uncultured bacterium. Its description in RNAcentral is "bacterial SSU rRNA". It matches the Rfam family "Bacterial small subunit ribosomal RNA", at positions 355 to 768 of the family's 1533-position model. The record is from RNAcentral.